This 799-nucleotide ribosomal RNA is filed under the name uncultured bacterium. RNAcentral describes it as "bacterial SSU rRNA". It matches the Rfam family "Bacterial small subunit ribosomal RNA", at positions 82 to 916 of the family's 1533-position model. The record is from RNAcentral.
GUCGAACGAUACAGUGUUGGACGGGUGAGUAACGCGUGUAGAACGUACCUUUCACUACGGAAUAUCUCCGGGAAACUGGUGGUAAUACCGUAUACGCCCUCAGGGGGAAAGAUUUAUCGGUGAAAGAUCGGCCCGCGUUGGAUUAGCUAGUUGGUGAGGUAAUGGCUCACAAAGGCGACGAUCCAUAGCUGGUCUGAGAGGAUGAUCAGCCACAUUGGGACUGAGCCAGGGUCCAACUCUCAACGGGAGGCAGCAGUGGGGAAUCUUGCACAAUGGGCGAAAGCCUGAUGCAGCCAUGCCGCGUGAAUGAUGAAGGCCUUAGGGUUGUAAAAUUCUUUCGUCAGGGAUGAUAAUGACCGUACCUGAAGAAGAAGCCCCGGCUAACUUCGUGCCAGCAGCCGCGGUAAUACGAAGGGGGCUAGCGUUGUUCGGAAUUACUGGGCGUAAAGCGCACGUAGGCGGAUUUUUAAGUCAGGUGUGAAAUCCCGGGGCUCAACCUCGGAACUGCAUUUGAAACUGGAAGUCUUGAGACCAGGAGAGGUUAGCGGAAUACCGAGUGUAGAGGUGAAAUUCGUAGAUAUUCGGUGGAACACCAGUGGCGAAGGCGGCUAACUGGACUGGUACUGACGCUGAGGUGCGAAAGUGUGGGGAGCAAACAGGAUUAGAUACCCUGGUAGUCCACACCGUAAACGAUGAGAGCUAGUUGUUGGCAGGCAUGCCUGUCAGUGACGCAGCUAACGCAUUAAGCUCUCCGCCUGGGGAGUACGGCCGCAAGGUUAAAACUCAAAGAAACUGACGG